This 253-nucleotide ribosomal RNA is filed under the name uncultured bacterium. RNAcentral describes it as "partial 16S ribosomal RNA". It matches the Rfam family "Bacterial small subunit ribosomal RNA", at positions 524 to 776 of the family's 1533-position model. The record is from RNAcentral.
UACGUAGGUGGCGAGCGUUGUCCGGAUUUAUUGGGCGUAAAGCGCGCGCAGGCGGUUCGGCAAGUCCGGUGUGAAAGCGCCCGGCUCAACUGGGCGAGGUCAUUGGAGACUGUCGGACUGGAGGUGGGCAGAGGCCGGUGGAAUUCCCGGUGUAGUGGUGAAAUGCGUAGAUAUCGGGAGGAACACCUGUGGUGUAGACGGCUAUCUGGACGGCGACUGACGCUGGGACACGAAAGCGUGGGUAGCAAACAGG